CCUACGGGUGGCAGCAGUGAGGAAUAUUGGUCAAUGGACGAGAGUCUGAACCAGCCAAGCAGCGUGAAGGAUGACUGCCCUAUGGGUUGUAAACUUCUUUUAUAUGGGAAUAAAAUGUUCCACGUGUGGGAUUUUGCAUGCACCAUAUGAAUAAGGAUCGGCUAACUCCGUGCCAGCAGCCGCGGUAAUACGGAGGGUCCGAGCGUUAUCCGGAUUUAUUGGGUUUAAAGGGAGCGUAGGUGGCUUGUUAAGUCAGUUGUGAAAGGCUGCGGCUCAACCGUAGAAUUGCAGUUGAAACUGGCAGGCUUGAGUACAGUAGAGGUAGGCGGAAUUCGUGGUGUAGCGGUGAAAUGCUUAGAUAUCACGAAGAACUCCGAUUGCGAAGGCAGCUCACUGGA
Molecule: ribosomal RNA, 398 nt
Filed under: uncultured bacterium
Lineage: Bacteria
Description: partial 16S ribosomal RNA
Rfam family: Bacterial small subunit ribosomal RNA
Source: RNAcentral